CGUGUAGGCGAUUUAGUAAGUCAGGGGUGAAAUUCCAAGGCUCAACCUUGGAACUGCCUCUGAAACUACUAGAAUUGAGUUCGGAAGAGGAAAGCGGAAUUUCCGGUGUAAGGGUGAAAUCUGUAGAUAUCGGAAAGAACACCAGUGGCGAAGGCGGCUUUCUGGUCCGAAACUGACGCUGAGACGCGAAAGCUAGGGGAGCGAACAGGAUUAGAUACCCUGGUAGUCC
Molecule: ribosomal RNA, 229 nt
Filed under: uncultured bacterium
Lineage: Bacteria
Description: partial 16S ribosomal RNA
Rfam family: Bacterial small subunit ribosomal RNA
Source: RNAcentral